Molecule: ribosomal RNA, 390 nt
Filed under: uncultured bacterium
Lineage: Bacteria
Description: bacterial SSU rRNA
Rfam family: Bacterial small subunit ribosomal RNA
Source: RNAcentral
AUUAAACGCUGGCGGCAUGCCUUACACAUGCAAGUCGAACGGCAGCACGGGGGAACCCGUGGUGGCGAGUGGCGAACGGGUGAGUAAAGCAUCGGAACGUGCCCUGGAGUGGGGGAUAACGUAGCGAAAGUUACGCUAAUACCGCAUAUUCUGUGAGCAGGAAAGCAGGGGAUCGCAAGACCUUGCGCUCUGGGAGCGGCCGAUGUCGGAUUAGCUAGUUGGUGGGGUAAAAGGCCUACCAAGGCGACGAUCCGUAGCGGGUCUGAGAGGAUGAUCCGCCACACUGGGACUGAGACACGGCCCAGACUCCUACGGGAGGCAGCAGUGGGGAAUUUUGGACAAAUGGGCGAAAGCCUGAUCCAGCCAUGCCGCGUGAGUGAAGAAAGGCCU